AAUCAACGCUGGCGGCGUGCCUCAGACAUGCAAGUCGAACGCUGCUGUUCGCCUUCGGGUGGACAGCGGAGUGGCGCACGGGUGAGUAACACGUAGGUAAUCUACCUUUGGGUGGGGAAUAACAGCCGGAAACGGCUGCUAAUACCGCAUAAUGCAGCGGCAUCACAUGAUGACAGUUGUUAAAGCGAGGGAUCGUAAGACCUCGCGCCUGAAGAGGAGCCUGCGGCAGAUUAGGUAGUUGGUGAGGUAAUGGCUCACCAAGCCUGCGAUCUGUAACCGGCCUGAGAGGGCGGUCGGUCACACUGACACUGACAUACGGGUCAGA
This 325-nucleotide ribosomal RNA is filed under the name uncultured bacterium. RNAcentral describes it as "bacterial SSU rRNA". It matches the Rfam family "Bacterial small subunit ribosomal RNA", at positions 32 to 335 of the family's 1533-position model. The record is from RNAcentral.